Molecule: non-coding RNA, 300 nt
Organism: Pelobates cultripes (western spadefoot toad)
Lineage: Eukaryota; Metazoa; Chordata; Amphibia; Anura; Pelobatidae
Source: the annotation of a GenBank genome assembly
AGUUCACAGACGGACAAUAUAAAAUGUAUAGGUCUCUCAGGCCACCUGCUGAUCGUGCUGUAGUCUGGGGGGGGGGGGAAGCCAUUUUAAAGCGAAAGGGAAGACGGAUAUCUAUAAGCAUAGCUUGCUAUCCCAUUAAAGAGGACCUCUCCUGACCCCCAACCAUCCCCAGGCAUGCCCCUUGUGUCUCAUGGACGGAGAUCCUGCUCUUUGCCCCGGUCAUGCAGACUGCCUGGGACAAGGUAGACUUUUCAAUGUUUUAUUCCGCACACACAGAAAAUGGCUGCAGCUCUAGCACGU